CCCGCUCCAUGUCCAUGUUUCUUCAACACCUACAAUUGGAGCAAAGAAAUAGGUAGAAAAUGUAUGGUUUUUGGCUAUAAAGCCUUCAAUUUUUCAUAGUAAAGGGGAUCCAAAAAUUGUAUCACUCGCGUAUUUUUCAAGGAAUCAAACAAAAAACACACAGAAGGUUGAUCUCCGAUUUUGUUCUCUUUAUUUUCGUUUUUCGUUUUCUUGCUUCUUUAAUAUUUCUUUUAUUUUUUAUACAAAUCUAUUAAACAAAGAUACAAAAAAGAAAAAAAUAAAAGGAAAGAGGAAGGAUUCUCACCAAAUUCGGCCCCGUCGCCGCGUUAUCGGAGCCUUCCCCUCCGUUCGGCGUGGUUGAGUCUAAAAAGGGGGUUGAACCCUUGUCUUUUCGUUUUUGGAGCUAGCCUCCAACAAGUAAAAAAUGGGAGAGCUAAAGGAGCCCAUUUUGGUGUAUCGUCGGCCACCGAGUGCGGUGGUGGCGCGACGGUUGAAGGGCGGCAAUGAUGGGUUUCUUUGAAACCCUAGCAGAAAAUAAAAGAGAAGGAAAAGGGGGAGAGAGCAAGGAAGCUCUCUGUUCUUUUUGUUUAAAGUUUGUUCUUUUUGUUUAAAGUUGGGGGAAGCUGGUAAUGGAAUAAUAAAAUAAAAAAUAAAAAAAGGGGAAAGUUGGUAAUGGAAUAAAAAAAGGAAAGUUUUUUUUUUUUGGUUUAAAU
Molecule: long non-coding RNA, 713 nt
Filed under: Gossypium barbadense (sea-island cotton)
Lineage: Eukaryota; Viridiplantae; Streptophyta; Magnoliopsida; Malvales; Malvaceae
Description: long non-coding RNA (GBAR_LNC007705)
Source: RNAcentral